Molecule: ribosomal RNA, 343 nt
Filed under: uncultured Thermovirga sp.
Lineage: Bacteria; Thermotogati; Synergistota; Synergistia; Synergistales; Thermovirgaceae
Description: bacterial SSU rRNA
Rfam family: Bacterial small subunit ribosomal RNA
Source: RNAcentral
GCUGCAUGGCUGUCGUCAGCUCGUGUCGUGAGAUGUCGGGUUAAGUCCCUCAACGAGCGCAACCCCUGCCGCUAGUUGCCAUCGGUUCGGCCGGGCACUCUAGCGGGACUGCCGGACGUCAAGCCGGAGGAAGGUGGGAUGACGUCAAGUCAUCAUGGCCCUUAUGUCCAGGGCUACACACGUGCUACAAUGGCCGGCACAGCGGGAAGCGAGGGGGCGACCUUGAGCGGAUCCCUCAAAGCCGGUCUCAGUUCGGAUUGCAGUCUGCAACUCGACUGCAUGAAGUUGGAAUCGCUAGUAAUCGUGGAUCAGCCAAGCCGCGGUGAAUACGUUCCCGGGUCUU